CGGUAACGGGCCUUCGGGUGCCGACGAGUGGCGAACGGGUGAGUAAUGCAUCGGAACGUACCUUUCAGUGGGGGAUAACGUAGCGAAAGUUACGCUAAUACCGCAUAUUCUGUGCGCAGGAAAGCAGGGGAUCGCAAGACCUUGCGCUGAUUGAGCGGCCGAUGUCAGAUUAGCUAGUUGGUGAGGUAAAGGCUCACCAAGGCGACGAUCUGUAGCGGGUCUGAGAGGAUGAUCCGCCACACUGGAACUGAGACACGGUCCAGACUCCUACGGGAGGCAGCAGUGGGGAAUUUUGGACAAUGGGGGCAACCCUGAUCCAGCCAUGCCGCGUGAGUGAAGAAGGCCUUCGGGUUGUAAAGCUCUUUCGGCCGGGAAGAAAUCGCAUGGGCCAAUACCCUGUGCGGAUGACGGUACCGGCAUAAGAAGCACCGGCUAACUACGUGCCAGCAGCCGCGGUAAUACGUAGGGUGCGAGCGUUAAUCGGAAUUACUGGGCGUAAAGCGUGCGCAGGCGGUUUUGUAAGACAGGCGUGAAAUCCCCGGGCUCAACCUGGGAACUGCGCUUGUGACUGCAAGGCUAGAGUACGGCAGAGGGGGGUGGAAUUCCACGUGUAGCAGUGAAAUGCGUAGAGAUGUGGAGGAACACCAAUGGCGAAGGCAGCCCCCUGGGUCGAUACUGACGCUCAUGCACG
This 691-nucleotide ribosomal RNA is filed under the name uncultured bacterium. RNAcentral's name for it is "bacterial SSU rRNA". It matches the Rfam family "Bacterial small subunit ribosomal RNA", at positions 67 to 755 of the family's 1533-position model. The record is from RNAcentral.